Molecule: ribosomal RNA, 543 nt
Filed under: Vishniacozyma victoriae
Lineage: Eukaryota; Fungi; Basidiomycota; Tremellomycetes; Tremellales; Bulleribasidiaceae
Description: partial large subunit ribosomal RNA
Rfam family: Eukaryotic large subunit ribosomal RNA
Source: RNAcentral
GAGUGAACCGGGAUGAGCUCAAAUUUAAAAUCUGGCGUCUUUCAGGCGUCCGAGUUGUAAUCUAUAGAGGCGUUUUCCGCGCCGGACCGCGUCCAAGUCUCUUGGAAUAGAGUAUCAAAGAGGGUGACAAUCCCGUACUUGACGCGACAACCGGUGCUCUGUGAUACGUUCUCAAUGAGUCGAGUUGUUUGGGAAUGCAGCUCUAAAUGGGUGGUAAAUUCCAUCUAAGGCUAAAUAUUGGCGAGAGACCGAUAGCGAACAAGUACCGUGAGGGAAAGAUGAAAAGCACUUUGGAAAGAGAGUUAAACAGCACGUGAAAUUGUUAAAAGGGAAACGAUUGAAGUCAGUCGUGUGAAAGGUAUUCAGCCGUCUCUGGCGGUGUAUUUGCCUUUCACGGGUCAACAUCAGUUUGAUCCGGUAGAAAAAGGCAGGAGGAAGGUGGCACCCUCGGGUGUGUUAUAGCCUCUUGUCAUAUGUGCCGGACCAGACUGAGGAACGCAGCUUGCCGCAAGGCCGGGGUUCGCCCACGUACAAGCUUAGGAU